GACGAACGCUGGCGGCGUGCUUAACACAUGCAAGUCGAACGGAAAGGCCCUGCUUGCAGGGUACUCGAGUGGCGAACGGGUGAGUAACACGUGGGUGAUCUGCCCUGCACUUCGGGAUAAGCCUGGGAAACUGGGUCUAAUACCGGAUAGGAGCCAUUUUUAGUGUGAUGGUUGGAAAGUUUUUUCGGUGUAGGAUGAGCUCGCGGCCUAUCAGCUUGUUGGUGGGGUAAUGGCCUACCAAGGCGGCGACGGGUAGCCGGCCUGAGAGGGUGGACGGCCACAUUGGGACGGGGAUACGGCCCAGACUCCUACGGGAGGCAGCAGUGGGGAAUAUUGCACAAUGGGCGCAAGCCUGAUGCAGCGACGCCGCGUGGGGGAUGACGGCCUUCGGGUUGUAAACGCCUUUCGCUAGGGACGAAGCUUUUUGUGACGGUACCUUGAUAAGAAGCACCGGCUAACUACGUG
RNAcentral lists this ribosomal RNA (465 nucleotides) under uncultured bacterium. Its description in RNAcentral is "partial 16S ribosomal RNA". It matches the Rfam family "Bacterial small subunit ribosomal RNA", at positions 28 to 507 of the family's 1533-position model. The record is from RNAcentral.